RNAcentral lists this small nuclear RNA (107 nucleotides) under Jaculus jaculus (lesser Egyptian jerboa). Lineage: Eukaryota; Metazoa; Chordata; Mammalia; Rodentia; Dipodidae. The record is from RNAcentral.
GUGCUCGCUUCGGCAGCACAUAUUCUAAAAUUGGAACGAUACAGAGAAGAUUAGCAUGACCCCUGCGCAAGGAUGACACACAAAUUCAUGAAGCGCUCCAUAUUUUU